Molecule: long non-coding RNA, 466 nt
Organism: Rosa chinensis
Lineage: Eukaryota; Viridiplantae; Streptophyta; Magnoliopsida; Rosales; Rosaceae
Exons: 4
Source: RefSeq, a predicted model, not a curated record
GGUACCAAUCCCCAACUCUCGUGGUAGCAUUAACUCUCUUUCCAGAAUUCCACUGCUACUCCGACACUCCCUUUCCCAAUCCCCGACUCCAAAGCCAUUGGCCACGAAUCCACUGCCUCCUAGAUCUCUCAGGUACCAAUCCCCAACUCCGAGCCCCUUGACCACGACUCCACCACCUCUGAGAUCUCUCUGGUACCAAUCCCUGAAGCCCUUGACCAUGACUCCACCGCCUCCGAAACCUCUUUGGUACCAAUCCAUGAUUUGUCUUCGAAUAUGAUAAAUUCUCGUCCUCUCGAAUCUGGAAUUGGGUCUCCAGUUAUUGCUAUGGCGAGUUCACACAAGAAGAUUACUACUUCUAGAGUGUAGUUUACAGAAGAAGACAUAAACUUACCCAAGUGAGGGAGAUGUGUAUCUAUUCAGUGGUUGCAUUACAUCAUGGAAACUACCAAAUGGGAAAAACCUCUUU